RNAcentral lists this ribosomal RNA (253 nucleotides) under uncultured bacterium. RNAcentral's name for it is "partial 16S ribosomal RNA". It matches the Rfam family "Bacterial small subunit ribosomal RNA", at positions 524 to 776 of the family's 1533-position model. The record is from RNAcentral.
UACGAAGGGGGCUAGCGUUGUUCGGAAUUACUGGGCGUAAAGCGUGCGCAGGCGGCUGCUCAAGUCAGGGGUGAAAGCCCAGAGCUCAACUCUGGAAUUGCCUUUGAGACUGAGUGGCUUGAGUACGGGAGAGGUGAGUGGAAUUCCCAGUGUAGAGGUGAAAUUCGUAGAUAUUGGGAAGAACACCGGUGGCGAAGGCGGCGAUCUGGGUCGAUACUGACGCUGAGGUGCGAAAGCGUGGGGAGCAAACAGG